GUCUUUUGUUGUUUAUAAAAAGUCUGUUCUGCCCCCUGAUUUUAUAAAUGGCCGCAGUAUAUUAACUGUGCAAAGGUAGCAUAAUCAUUAGUUUUUUAAUUGGAGACUUGUAUGAAUGAUUGGACGAGGUAUAAGCUGUUUCAAAACAAUAAAUAGAAUUUUAUUUUUUAGUCAAAAAGCUAAAAUUUAUUUAAAAGACGAGAAGACCCUAUAGAUCUUUAUAACAUUUUUUUUUAUGAAUUAUAAAUAAUUUUUUGUUUUGUAAAUAUUUUGUUAUUUUGUUGGGGUGACAUUGAAAUUUGAUUAACUUUUGAUUAAUUAAACCAUUAAUUUAUGUUUAAAUGAUCCUUUUAUAUUGAUUAAAAAUCUAAGUUACCUUAGGGAUAACAGCGUAAUUAUUUUGGAGAGUUCAUAUCGAUAAAAUAGUUUGCGACCUCGAUGUUGGAUUAAAAUUAAUUUUGGGCGUAGCCGUUUGAAGUAUUAAGUCUGUUCGACUUUUAAUUUUUU
RNAcentral lists this ribosomal RNA (507 nucleotides) under Medetera sp. Pollet 0317. RNAcentral's name for it is "partial 16S ribosomal RNA". The stretch from base 383 to 507 matches the Rfam family "Bacterial large subunit ribosomal RNA", at positions 2473 to 2597 of the family's 2925-position model. Lineage: Eukaryota; Metazoa; Arthropoda; Insecta; Diptera; Dolichopodidae. The record is from RNAcentral.